This 225-nucleotide ribosomal RNA is filed under the name uncultured bacterium. RNAcentral's name for it is "partial 16S ribosomal RNA". It matches the Rfam family "Bacterial small subunit ribosomal RNA", at positions 107 to 334 of the family's 1533-position model. The record is from RNAcentral.
UGAGUAACACGUAUCCAACCUGCCGUCUACUCUUGACAGCCUUCUGAAAGGAAGAUUAAUACAAGAUGGCAUCAUGAGUCCGCAUGUUCACAUGAUUAAAGGUAUUCCGGUAGACGAUGGGGAUGCGUUCCAUUAGAUAGUAGGCGGGGUAACGGCCCACCUAGUCUUCGAUGGAUAGGGGUUCUGAGAGGAAGGUCCCCCACAUGGAACUGAGACACGGUCCAA